This 1793-nucleotide long non-coding RNA is filed under the name Homo sapiens (human). RNAcentral's name for it is "non-protein coding lnc-CHODL-2:2". Lineage: Eukaryota; Metazoa; Chordata; Mammalia; Primates; Hominidae. The record is from RNAcentral.
UAAUUUUAGUAGAGACAGGGUUUCACCGUGUUAGCCAGGAUGGUCUCGAUCUCCUGACCUCGUGAUCUGCCUGCCUCGGCCUCCCAAAGUGCUGGGAUUACAGGCGUGAACCACUGCACCCGGCCCAGUACUGCAUCUUAACAGCAAAGCCAUUUUAUUCUACUUUAUAACUGAGAGACUUGAUACCAUCCAUCUCUUUAGGUUACAGAGGAUAAUUUGAAGAGAAAUGUUACUGUAGAAUAUAUAGUUCUGUACUUUUUUUUUUUUUUUUUAAGAGAUAGGGUUUCACUAUUGCUCAGGCUGGUCUCAAACUGCUGGGCUCAGGAGAUCCUCCUGCCUUGGCCUCCCAAAUUGCUGGGAUUACAGGUGUGAGCCGCAGCAUCCAGCCAGUUCUGUACUUUGAAUAUGGAGUAGUUUACAGCUAUUUUUUUUUCUUACUGGUAAUCUUAACUAAUAUGAUUCCCUUGUUAGAGAGCCUCUCACUCCCCCACCCCCAAAAAUGUCUACUAUUCAUGACAGUAACCAAUUAUUCUGGACAAAUUGCUUCUUUUUAAUUUGAGCUAUCUGCCAUGGACUUUCUAAAAUGGAAACACAGCCUGAGUGUAUCUUAGGGAGAGUUUGAUUGAAAAAAUCCAAAUCACUAUCCAUAUAGAUCAUGGAUAUAAAGAGAUACCUGAUUUUUAUUAAAAAGAUACUUUUUCAAAUUUAAGAGUUAAUCUUGGAAAUUUGGAACAAGUAAAGGGGCAAGUAAACCUUUUGAUGAAAUAUAAAAGGAACUCAUUGCAUGAAGUUGACUAUCAAAUUCUGUGAUGUGUGGCUUCUUAAAAAUAUUCUCAGUGUCUUUUGUGUGCGUGCAGCAUGUACAUUUGAUGUUAUGUGAAUGUUGAGUUUUUUCUUCUAAUUUUCACUUCAGCAGUGUUUAGGGCUUUCAGAUGCCUUAUUCCAGUGUGAACAGAAAAAGUUCAUAUUUUAUGUGGUUAAUGCUUUGAUGUGUCACAUAAAGAGUAGUUUGUAGAAAAUGUUGGCACAAUUUUAACUUCUUAGUGGCUUGUGACAUUAUAUAUUAUAUAUAUAUAUGUACAUAUAUCUUUAUAACAUUCCUGUGUUUAGUAGUGUAAAUGUUCUGGGCAAGUUUUAAUAUUUUGAAUGCCUUUGGAUAUUCCAGCAAUAAAGGCAUCAUGUUCUGCAAUAGGAUUUCUUACUCAUUUACCUAUUUUAACACUAAAAUAGACCACAACUGAGCACAAAUUCCUUUUAUAAAUGUUAUAGAAGCAGGGAAGAAUAAUAAACACAUUUGUGAAUUGUGGUUCAGUUUAUUUAUCUUUAGGGAAGGCUGAUCAUUUAUCUUAUAGCAGAUAACCCCAGCCUCUUAUUCAUUAUGGUUAACUUUUAUAAUUUAUCUUAUUUUAUAAUUUAAGAAUAUAGUACAUAUCAGUUGGGUUUGGUUUUGGUCAUCGAGACUAAAAGCUCCAUCAAAACAGAACUUUGUGUUUUCUGCUAACUUAUUUAAUGACACAAGUUUUAAGAGAACCACAAUUCAUUGAUUCACUUAUUCUUUUCCCUAAUUGUGAAUUUUAGUGAUAAAUACACCUGUACUACUGAGGAAAAUAUUCUGACACUUCACGUGUGCAAAGUAUAGAACUGACAGUGUCAGUUUCAGAUUUUGUAUGUACGAUUUCUGGCUUAUAUAUCCAAUGGUGCAGAUUUUGAAAUUUGUAAGAACAAAAUUUGUUAAGAAAAACAACUUGCUCUAGUUUUGUGACCUUGUGUACUUUUGAAAUAAAAUCAAGAAA